UUUUUUGUACCACGGAUCGAACUCCGGACCUUGCGCUUUCGAGGCAGGAGGCGGAACCACUGAGUUAAAUCUCCGGCCCCUCAGCCGCAGCUUUUAGAGCUGGACAGCCUACAGUGAAGACCUUAGGGGCUGAUUCCUUCUCAGCACUUGUCAGCCUACAGGCAGCCAUGCACUGAAUCAAUGACCAAACACCAUGGCAGUCACCUCCAACAGGGACUCUGGGCAAAGGAGGCUCCCACCUGCACCUCAGUGGCUGACAGGAGCCAGAAAACUCAUCUCCCCCAACUUUUUGGCUCCUGCCCGAUAAGCAUAAUUUCAGUGGAGAGAAUCCUCGAAGCUACUCACCUCCUAUGUGUGAACCUCAGGCAUCAAAGGCUCUCAGAGUUGGGAUGAACUGGAAGUUCUCAUUCAAACUCCUCCCUGGAGUCAAAAUGCCCCUCCCUGAGCACAAGGGACAGCUGUGAGAAACAGCCUGUUGUUUGCUGAGAGCGGCCUGUUUGUGUUGCCUGUUUACUUGUGAAGAUCUACUGAGGCCAGGUGUGACAGUAUUAUAGAUAGGUAAGUUAAUUAGGUAUCUUGUUGGCAGGUAGACAGGGCCUCCCUUAAGGUGCCAGCCCUCCAGGAGCCGACACAGCAAGGAACCAACAUGAAGAA
This is a non-coding RNA of Heterocephalus glaber (naked mole-rat), 654 nucleotides long. NCBI's taxonomy places the organism in Eukaryota, Metazoa, Chordata, Mammalia, Rodentia, Bathyergidae. The record is from RefSeq and is a predicted model, not a curated record.